GGCUGUGGCCAUACUGGCUUGUGAAAGCCUGUUUUUGUCAGCCCUCUUUUGCUAAGAAAGGCUGAGCCUGGAUAGUACUUGGAUGGGAGACUGCUGGGAAUACCAGGUGCCACAGUGG
This 118-nucleotide ribosomal RNA is filed under the name Periophthalmus magnuspinnatus. The record is from RNAcentral. Lineage: Eukaryota; Metazoa; Chordata; Actinopteri; Gobiiformes; Gobiidae.